RNAcentral lists this transfer RNA (66 nucleotides) under Marmota monax (woodchuck). RNAcentral describes it as "tRNA.Ala". It matches the Rfam family "tRNA". Rfam says of the family: Transfer RNA (tRNA) molecules are approximately 80 nucleotides in length. Their secondary structure includes four short double-helical elements and three loops (D, anti-codon, and T loops). Further hydrogen bonds mediate the characteristic L-shaped molecular structure. tRNAs have two regions of fundamental functional importance: the anti-codon, which is responsible for specific mRNA codon recognition, and the 3' end, to which the tRNAs corresponding amino acid is attached (by aminoacyl-tRNA synthetases). tRNAs cope with the degeneracy of the genetic code in two manners: having more than one tRNA (with a specific anti-codon) for a particular amino acid; and 'wobble' base-pairing, i.e. permitting non-standard base-pairing at the 3rd anti-codon position. The record is from RNAcentral. Lineage: Eukaryota; Metazoa; Chordata; Mammalia; Rodentia; Sciuridae.
GUUGUAGCUCAGUGGUAAAGCACAUGCCUAGCAUGUGUGAGGCACUGGGUUCGAUCCUCAGCAGCA